UGCAGUCGAGCGGUAACAUUUCUAGCUUGCUAGAAGAUGACGAGCGGCGGACGGGUGAGUAAUGCUUGGGAAUAUGCCUUGAGGUGGGGGACAACCAUUGGAAACGAUGGCUAAUACCGCAUAAUGUCUUAGGACCAAAGGGGGCUUCGGCUCUCGCCUUUAGAUUAGCCCAAGUGGGAUUAGCUAGUUGGUGAGGUAAAGGCUCACCAAGGCGACGAUCCCUAGCUGGUUUGAGAGGAUGAUCAGCCACACUGGAACUGAGACACGGUCCAGACUCCUACGGGAGGCAGCAGUGGGGAAUAUUGCACAAUGGGCGCAAGCCUGAUGCAGCCAUGCCGCGUGUGUGAAGAAGGCCUUAGGGUUGUAAAGCACUUUCAGUUGUGAGGAAAGGUUAGUAGUUAAUACCUGCUAGCUGUGACGUUAGCAACAGAAGAAGCACCGGCUAACUCCGUGCCAGCAGCCGCGGUAAUACGGAGGGUGCGAGCGUUAAUCGGAAUUACUGGGCGUAAAGCGUACGCAGGCGGUUUGUUAAGCGAGAUGUGAAAGCCCCGGGCUCAACCUGGGAACCGCAUUUCGAACUGGCCAACUAGAGUGUGAUAGAGGGUGGUAGAAUUUCGGGUGUAGCGGUGAAAUGCGUAGAUAUCUGAAGGGAUACCGAUGGCGAAGGCAGCCACCUGGGUCAACACUGACGCUCAUGUAC
Molecule: ribosomal RNA, 700 nt
Filed under: uncultured Pseudoalteromonas sp.
Lineage: Bacteria; Pseudomonadati; Pseudomonadota; Gammaproteobacteria; Alteromonadales; Pseudoalteromonadaceae
Description: bacterial SSU rRNA
Rfam family: Bacterial small subunit ribosomal RNA
Source: RNAcentral